AACGAACGCUGGCGGCAUGCCUAACACAUGCAAGUCGAACGGGCUGUAGCAAUACAGUCAGUGGCGAACGGGUGAAUAACGCGUGGGAACCUGCCUUGGAGUUCGGAAUAACCGCGGGAAACUGCGGCUAAUACCGGAUACGACCUAAGGGUGAAAGCAGCAAUGCGCUCCGAGAGGGGCUCGCGGCCUAUCAGCUAGUUGGCGAGGUAACGGCUCACCAAGGCGAUGACGGGUAGCUGGUCUGAGAGGAUGGCCAGCCACAUUGGGACUGAGAGACGGCCCAGACUCCUACGGGAGGCAGCAGUGGGGAAUCUUGCGCAAUGGCCGAAAGGCUGACGCAGCGACGCCGCGUGGAGGAUGACG
This 363-nucleotide ribosomal RNA is filed under the name uncultured bacterium. RNAcentral describes it as "bacterial SSU rRNA". It matches the Rfam family "Bacterial small subunit ribosomal RNA", at positions 29 to 413 of the family's 1533-position model. The record is from RNAcentral.